UUAUCAAAAACAUCCAAGAAGUUUUGACAUAAUUUAAACUGGGAAAAGGCUCACAAAUGACUUCAACAUCGCAGAUAUCUCUCAAAAAUGAUAUCUGUUCGAGUGAUGUACUGGGCGACAAAUCUGCAAAUGAGUUAGAACUGUACAUAAUUUUUUGAAUGGAAUGAUACUGAAAAUCUUACCUACAAAUGACAAUUUCAAGAUACAAUCAAUAGUACUUAGAUUGAUUGGCCUUCGGUACCAUUGCGCUAUGAAAAUGUAAGCAAUACAAAUUGGUAUUAAUGGACGUUUCCAGUCCAAGUUCCAGUUUUAAUGGAUAAUCUUUAAUGGACAGAAAAAUGACAUUCACUGGAUUGACUUAACACCUGUUGCCUUUUAAUAAUGGUAUACAAUGGGAUAAUUGCUGUUUGAAGUCAACAAGUAGUACUAGUUGCAAAUAAUAUAUUAUGGCGGACAUCAAAAAGCUUUAAAUGGAAUUAAACUUGCAGAAAAAGACUCAAAAAGACCAUUUAGGACUGUACUUAAUAGCUGUUAGAGUGGAUGCAGCCCUUUAUCAAUGGUAUAAGAUGGGACAAUUGGCUGUUAAAAAUCCACAAGCCGUACUAUCUGCAAAUAUUAUGGUGGACAGUCGAAAGCUUUAAAUGGAAUGAAAUUUGCAGGAAAAGACUCAGAAAGUCCAUUUAGGACUGUACUUAAUAGCUGUUAAAAAGUGGUCGCAGUCCUUUAUCAAUGGUAUCUCGACAUUUUCUUAACAAUGGAUAUCAACAGUUUCUCCUACUCCUCACUUUCCUCUUUCGCUCAACAUAAAGCAGACUCAAUACUCCUCAAUGCCUCACCAAGGUUCGUUAGCUUCAUUAAUAGUGUUAUUGUUUCAAUAAA
This is a long non-coding RNA of Sitophilus oryzae (rice weevil), 879 nucleotides long. RefSeq lists it as uncharacterized. The transcript has 6 exons. NCBI's taxonomy places the organism in Eukaryota, Metazoa, Arthropoda, Insecta, Coleoptera, Curculionidae. The record is from RefSeq and is a predicted model, not a curated record.